ACCCGCCCCCACUUAAGAAAUUUUAAAUUCCUGUAAGGCAUCAUUUUCAGAAAUUAUUGCUCAAGGCAGGACUCUAGACGUAUCUUUAGCAGACUUUGGAAUGAUGUUUAGUUGUUCCUGGAAAGAUGACUAUCUUUUGAAAUAGUGUAGAUAUAUUGACUUUCAUAGACUAUUAAUGCUUAAUUUUAAGGACUGAGUAGGUAGCUUAGUAUAUUUUCAGUGAGAAACUGAUCAGGCCUUUAUUAUUGGUUAGGGUACCCAGAAUUGAGGUGAUUAAUUUUGGGUUAUAUAUAGUAAAACGCAGGAAACUACAAUGUUUAUAAACAAAGUAUCUAUCAUAGGACAAAGAUAAAAUUGGAUAAUAAUGGAGAAAAAUAAACAAAAGUGGAAUGAGACUUUAGCUUUCAAUAAAUAGAUAAGGUGGUUGGUUAUGUAGGAACACAGAGGAAUUAAUAGUCUUACAUUUUGUUUUUCCAAGUUUUAUAAAUCCAAAAAUGAAAAAGAGUAUGAUUCUACUAUAAUUUUUUCUUUUAACUUUUUACAUUUCCAUUCUUCCUUCAGGCCAUUUAUUUCUCAGAAAAUCCAUUUUCCUGAUUUUUCUACCAGAGACAUACAUAGGAAUUAUGUUGAUUGUGUGCGAUGGUUAGGCGAUUUGAUACUUUCUAAGAGUGGCCGUGCCAUUUUACAUUCCCACCAGCAAUGUAUGAGAGAUCCAGUGUCUCCGAAUCUUCGCCAGCAUUUGUCUUGUGAAAAUGCCAUUGUGUGCUGGAAACCUGGCAAGAUGGAAGAUGAUAUAGAUAAAAUUAAACCCAGUGAAUCUAAUGUGACUAUUCUUGGGCGAUUUGAUUACAGCCAGUGUGACAUUUGGUACAUGAGGUUUUCUAUGGAUUUCUGGCAAAAGAUGCUUGCAUUGGGCAAUCAAGUUGGCAAACUUUAUGUUUGGGAUUUAGAAGUAGAAGAUCCUCAUAAAGCCAAAUGUACAACACUGACUCAUCAUAAAUGUGGUGCUGCUAUUCGACAAACCAGUUUUAGCAGGGAUAGCAGCAUUCUUAUAGCUGUUUGUGAUGAUGCCAGUAUUUGGCGCUGGGAUCGACUUCGAUAAAAUACUUUUGCCUAAUCAAAAUUAGAGUGUGUUUGUUGUCUGUGUAAAAUAGA
This 1155-nucleotide small RNA is filed under the name Pan troglodytes (chimpanzee). RNAcentral describes it as "retained intron". Lineage: Eukaryota; Metazoa; Chordata; Mammalia; Primates; Hominidae. The record is from RNAcentral.